ACUCGACCCUUCAAAACUCACUGCAAAGAAAAAGAAGGAAGAGAAGGCCAAGGACAAGGAGUUAAAUGAUUUGUUCAAAAUUGCUGUUAGUCAGCCUAAGGUGUUGAUCCUAAGUCCAUAUUGUGUGAGUUUUUCAAAGUGGGGCAGUGUACCAAGGGCUUCAAGUGCAAGUUCUCCCAUGAUUUGAAUGUUCAGAGGAAAGGGGAAAAAUUGACCUUUAUAGUGAUAAGUGUGACGAGGAAACAAUGGAGGAUUGGGAUCAAGACACCUUGGAGAAGGUUGUAGAGUCUAAGAAAACCGAGUAUAAUCAGAACAAACCAACUGACAUGGUCUGUACUUUUUGGACACAGUGGAGAAGAAGCAAUAUGGUUGGUUCUGGGUCUGCCCCAAUGGCAGUAAGAAUUGCCACUAUAGACAUGCCCUUCCCCUUGGAUAUGUUUUGAAAUCUCAAAUGAAGGCUCUAUUAGAGGAGGAAAGUGAAAAAAUAACAAUAGAGGAGGAGAUUGAAAAUCAGCGUGCCAAAGUGACAACUACAACUCCUAUGACUCCUGAAUUAUUCAUGCAAUGGAAGAAAAAGAAAAUGGAAGAGAGAGAGGCCAAUCUUGGUGCACAACAGGCAGAGAGGGCUAAGAAUGUUCGCAUGAGGUAUGCAAUCUUGCUGCACAACAGGCAGAGAGAGGCCAAUCUUUGUCUUACGGUUCACAGUUCACACAUGAAUGAGUUUUAUUACUCAAAAGAAAAAGUACAUGCUGCACAUUCUUGAAUGUGUUUUAAUGGAAGGAUCACAGUUGGUUAUGAAGGCUGAUGACCUUUAAGUUAGUUGUCUGUCACUAAUCAUGUCAUGUUUCCAUUCCCAUUUGCAUUGGUCACGAGCUAUUUUUGUCAGAUGCUAGCUUGUUUUGUGGAUGAUGAUGAAGCAUAUGACAAGUACCAAAGAGAACCAGAAUCUGAAUCUGGCAACACUGAACAGAAUGCGAAUGGUAAUGCUACCGAAGAUGGUCCUGGCACCUCAAUAGCUAGUGCUGAUGUUGACGAUACUGACGAUGUUGAUGGCGAACUGGACAUGGACGAGUUGGAUGAAUUAAGCAAGCUUAUCAAAGAUAUCAAUUCAAAUAAAGGAGUAAGGAGCUGAAACUUAAUUCUGAGGAUUAGUUAUAACCUUCUUGUGAUAUUUCUAUGCAUCUAAUGCACAAUAGAGCAUGUGCUUGUAGCCAUUAGCACUUGUUUCUUUCAAGUAAGUUUUUGAGUGAAGCCUUUGAUGAUAAUGAAAGUAUUCUUCUCAAUUUUACAUUUGGUAAGAAUAAUUGCAUGUGUGACAUAAUGUGAUAUAAUCUAGCUUUCUGUAGUUAGAUCUCUCAUUGGACCUACUACACACAUUUUUUGUUGUUUGAACACUAUGUUGUCUCAGCAGUGUGUAUCAGUUUUAUUAUGAGUUUACGGUUUACUUAUUUCAGAAAUCAGCACGGGGGUGUUCCA
Glycine soja is the source of this 1476-nucleotide long non-coding RNA. RefSeq lists it as uncharacterized. Lineage: Eukaryota; Viridiplantae; Streptophyta; Magnoliopsida; Fabales; Fabaceae. The record is from RefSeq and is a predicted model, not a curated record. The transcript is spliced from 7 exons.